Molecule: long non-coding RNA, 3645 nt
Organism: Eriocheir sinensis (Chinese mitten crab)
Lineage: Eukaryota; Metazoa; Arthropoda; Malacostraca; Decapoda; Varunidae
Exons: 2
Source: RefSeq, a predicted model, not a curated record
UCUCUAUUCUGUUAUUCAUUAUUCUAUCCUCUAUUCUGUGUCUCAUUAUCCUUUUCUCCAUUCUUCAUUUUCUUUUCAGUUUUCAUUCAUUAUUUUAUUCUCUAAUGUUUUGUCUAUUUUUCCCUUCAUUAUUUUUUUCCUCUAUUCUUUUCUUCACUUUUUUUUGGUCCAUUAUUUCCUCCAUUUUCUAUCCUCUAUUCUCUCAUUCAUAUCCUAUUCUCUAUUCUGUCCCUCAAUACUCUUUCCUCUAUUCUCUCCUUCAUUAUCCUGUCCUCUAUUCUAUCCUCCAUUCUGUCUUCUGUUCUGUUCUUCAUUCCUUUGUUCUUUAUUCUUCUUCAUUCUUAUCAUCUUUACUCCUACGUGUCAGGAGGAGGGUAGGGAUCAGGACACCUCUCCUCCCGAAAUUGACCCCUCUUUCGGCCACUUUCUCGGAUUCUUUUCAGGAGCAGCGAGUAGCGGGCUUUUUUUUAUUAUUGUUUCCCUUUUCUGUGCCCUUGAGCUGUCUCCUUUGUUAUAAAAAAAAAGAGAGGAUGGAAAGGAGAUACAGUCACACUUAGAUAAAUAGAUAGACAGAUAGCUAAAUAAAUAUAAAUAGAUAGACAGAUAGCAAAAUAAAAAUCAUAGAGGUAGAACGCAUGAGUUUACAACCAUUCUUGCCUGCUUUCCGUGUCUCAUUAAUGCACUGAGGAGCAUAAGAGAGCGUGAGAGAGAAUAACUUGGGGUGAUUAUGUGCGUUUUGCUUGUUGCCCCUCGCCCCGGUCCGCUGCAGAAGCCUGGUCAUCUGUGAAGGCUGCUGGUGGUGGUGGGGAUGAUGGGGGAGUAGGUGGUGAUGCUGGUGGUGAUGUGUGAAAGAAGGAAGUAGUGGGGGAUGGUGGUGGUGGUGUGUGGAGAAGGCUGGUAAUGGGGGUGGUGGAGGGUGAUGAUGGUGGGGGUGGUUGUGGUAUGGUGAUGGUGUCUGUGUAGUGGUGUGAUGGUGGUAUUGGUAUUGUGGGUCUGAUGAUGGUGAUUUAUUGAUUUAUUUAUUUAUUAUGGUGGUGGUGAUUUGUGAAGGAGGGUGGUUGUGGUAUGGUGAUGCUGUCUAUGUAGUGGUGUGAUAGUGGUAUUGGUAUUGUGAGUCUGAUGAUGGUAUUGGGGUAGUGGUUAUUUAUUUAUUUAUUACAGCAGAGUCAGUUCAAGGGCAUAAUAAAAAGUAAACAAAUGUGAAAAAAAGCCCGCUACUCACUGCUGGUAUUGUGGGCAGGGUUAUGAUGGUAUUGAGAGGGUUGUGGUGGUGAUGGUACAGUGAUAUCAUUGCAGCUGUUAUUAUUGUAGUAUUCAAUAGGAUAGUGGUGACAGUGAUAGCCUUUCAUUGUUGUUGUUGUAUUCCCAGCACAGUUUUUCCUUUAAGAUAUGCUGCAACACUCACCUCAGCAUAUUGUUAUUAGGCCUAUUGUAUUCUCAGCACAGUUUUUCCUUUAAGAUAUGCUGCAACACUCACCUAAGUAUUUCCUGUGCCAGAUAUGAAGCGACGUAACAAAAUAAACAAAGAAAAAGUCAUGUUCAUCUCUACAAACAGUCUUGCCUUUGAGUUGCUUUGUUGUGUGAUAUAAAUGAAUUGAUAUACAGGAUAUUCUCGGCUGUUCUUUACUUAAGGUUUCUGUGUGGUGUAAACAGAUGAUGGAACAUAUUAAAAUUAACGAAGAAAAAAGUCAUGUUCAUUUCUACAAACAGUCUUGCCUUUGGGUUGCUUAGUUCAGUGAUAUAAAUGAAUUGAUAGACAGGGUAUUCUCAGGCUCUUCUUUAUUUAGGGUUUCUGUGUGGUGUAAACAGAUGAUGGAACGUAUUAAAAUAAACAAAGAAAAAGUCAUGUUCAUCUCUACAAACAGUCUUGCCUUUGAGUUGCUUUGUUCAGUGAUAUAAAUGAAUCGAUAAACAGAAUAUUCUCGGCUGUUCUUUAUUUAGGGUUUCUGUGUGGUGUAAACAGAUGAUGGAACGUAUUAAAAUUAACGAAGAAAAAAGUCGCGUUCAUUUCUACAAACAGUCUUGCCUUUGAGUUGCUUUGUUCAGUGAUAUAAAUGAAUCGAUAAACAGAAUAUUCUCGGCUGUUCUUUAUUUAGGGUUUCUGUGUGGUGUAAACAGAUGGUGGAAUGUAUUAAAAUUAACGAAGAAAAAGUCAUGUUCAUCUCUACAAACAGUCUUGCCUCUGAGUUGCUUUGUUCAGUGAUAUAAAUGAAUUGACAUACAGGAUAUUCUCGGCUGUUCUUUAUUUAAGGUUUCUGUGUGGUGUAAACAGAUGAUGAAACGUAUUAAAAUUAACGAAGAAAAGUCGCGUUCAUCUCUACAAACAGUCUUGCCUCUGAGUUGCUUUGUUCAGUGAUAAGCAAAAUUGUCUGCAGUGCCUUAAAAUCACUCAUUAGAACCUGACUGAUCCCCUCUUCGGCCUUUGGAAAUAGUUGAUGUGAGAAUUGAAGGUGUUUUAUGAUACUGGACUAUAGUAGCAAAAUCUGUUAGGUUAGAAGAAUUGAUAAACAGCAUAUUCUCGGGCUUUUCUUUAUUUAGGGUUUCCGGGUGGUGUAAACAGAUCAAGGGCCUCAUUACCUAGUUUCACAAUAAUUUACCCCUGUGUAAUAAUUAUAUCCCCCAGCUCUUUCUAUUUGUUCUUUAAUUCUGAACUCCUCACUUCUGACGGAAUAUAGAAAACAGGACAUUCUGUACCUCUCUCUCUUUAGGGUUUGUGUGUGGUGUGAACAAGUAACAGGAUGUGGGAUUAGAUCUCUUCCAUUGGUUCCUCUCUUUAUUUAGCCUUGCUGUAUGGGGUGAACAAAUGGCAGGAUAUAGGAUUAGACUAUUUCAUUUGGUCCCUCUUUUUCUUCAGCUUUCUGUGGGGGAUAAACAAAGAACAGGAUAUAGAAUUAGAUCCUUUCCAUUGGUUCUUUUGACUUAGGUUUUUGUGUAGUGUAAACAGAAGACAGGGUAUAGAAUUUGAUCCUUUCACAUAGCUCCUCUUUUUACUUAGGUUCCUGUGUGGUGUAAGCAGAGGACGGGAUAAAGAAUUAGACCCUUUCCAUUGGUUCUUUUGACUUAGGUUUUUGUGUAGUGUAAACAGAAGACAGGGUAUAGAAUUUGAUCCUUUCACAUAGCUCCUCUUUUUACUUAGGUUCCUGUGUGGUGUAAGCAGAGGACGGGAUAAAGAAUUAGACCCUUUCCAUUGGUUCUUUUUACUUAGGUUUUUGUGUAGUGUAAACAGAAGACAGGGUAUAGAGUUAGAUCCUUUCACAUAGCUCCUUUUUUAACUUUGGUGCCUGUGUGGUGUAAGCAGAGGACGGGAUAUAGAAUUAGAUCCUUUCAUAUAAGUCCUUUUUCCUUAGGUUUCUGUGUGGUAUAAACAAACAACAGGAUAUGGGAUUGGAUCGCUUUAAGUGGCUCCUCUUUGUAUAAGGUCUUCUGUGUGCCGGAAACGAUUGACAGGAUAUAGGAUUAGAUCACCUCACUUGGUUUCUCUUAUCCAUUCUGUGUGGGGUAUGCAAAUAGCCGGAUAUAGAAUCAGAUCCCAUUACUUAGAGGUGCUUGAUUACAGUAAAGAGUUCAAGGGCAAAAAAAAAAAACACCAAAACAAUAAUGAAAAAAAAACAAUUGCGGGAUAUAGAAUCAGAUCCCAUUACUUAA